UAGCAUCUAACACAUCAAUAGUGUUUCAGAACACAAUGUGAAUACAUAGUACGAUUUGAAAAACAGCCGUAAAGAAUAUAUCUCUAAUACUUGAUAGUCUUCUGAAUUUUUUUUCUUUUUUCAUAUAUGGAAUAGUUGAUUUUUCUUGCUCGGCAUAACUAUUAACACUUGUUUUGAGGUAUAGUGAAAAAUGAAGAGAAGCAUUUGGAUUUGUGGAAGGUGUCGCAUAUAAACCCUUUUGGAAAACCAAUUCUACAUUACUUCAUACUCUCCUCAAGUCGAGAUACUUACUCAUUCAAUCAAUCUAUUUCUCUUUCUCUAUUACCAUACGAUAAAAUCGGUUUUCUAAAAAAGUUCUGAUUUAUGUGAUGUUGUUCCUCACGAUGCUCAACCUCAUUCAAACUUAGGGAGAGGGAGCACUUUUCUUUUGGUGUUUUCCAUCUUGAGUGAGGUUCAACAUUGUGAGAAGAGCAUCACAUAACUCGGAACUUUCUGGAAAACCGAUUUCAUGAUGGAAUGGUGGUAGAAAGAGAGAGAUAGAUGGGUUGAAU
RNAcentral lists this long non-coding RNA (551 nucleotides) under Lathyrus oleraceus (garden pea). RNAcentral describes it as "Pisum sativum (pea) long non-coding RNA (PSAT_LNC023099)". Lineage: Eukaryota; Viridiplantae; Streptophyta; Magnoliopsida; Fabales; Fabaceae. The record is from RNAcentral.